Molecule: ribosomal RNA, 466 nt
Filed under: uncultured bacterium
Lineage: Bacteria
Description: partial 16S ribosomal RNA
Rfam family: Bacterial small subunit ribosomal RNA
Source: RNAcentral
AUGAACGCUGGCGGCGUGCUUCACACAUGCAAGUCGAACGGAAAGGCCCAAGCUUGCUUGGGUACUCGAGUGGCGAACGGGUGAGUAACACGUGGGUGAUCUGCCCUGCACUUCGGGAUAAGCCUGGGAAACUGGGUCUAAUACCGGAUAGGACCACUUCUUGGAUGUUGUGGUGGAAAGUUUUUUCGGUGUGGGAUGAGCUCGCGGCCUAUCAGCUUGUUGGUGGGGUAAUGGCCUACCAAGGCGUCGACGGGUAGCCGGCCUGAGAGGGUGUACGGCCACAUUGGGACUGAGAUACGGCCCAGACUCCUACGGGAGGCAGCAGUGGGGAAUAUUGCACAAUGGGCGCAAGCCUGAUGCAGCGACGCCGCGUGGGGGAUGACGGCCUUCGGGUUGUAAACUCCUUUCGCUAGGGACGAAGCGUUUUGUGACGGUACCUGGAGAAGAAGCACCGGCUAACUACGUG